RNAcentral lists this ribosomal RNA (279 nucleotides) under uncultured bacterium. Its description in RNAcentral is "partial 16S ribosomal RNA". It matches the Rfam family "Bacterial small subunit ribosomal RNA", at positions 506 to 784 of the family's 1533-position model. The record is from RNAcentral.
UGCCAGCAGCCGCGGUAAUACAGAGGGUGCAAGCGUUAAUCGGAAUUACUGGGCGUAAAGCGCACGUAGGUGGAUGUUUAAGUCGGAUGUGAAAGCCCUGGGCUCAACCCAGGAACUGCAUUCGAUACUGGACAUCUAGAGUAUGGUAGAGGGAAGUGGAAUUUCCGGAGUAGCGGUGAAAUGCAUAGAUACCGGAAGGAACACCAGAGGCGAAGACGACUUCCUGGGCCAAUACUGACACUGAGGUGCGAAAGCGUGGGUAGCAAACAGGAUUAGAUA